Molecule: ribosomal RNA, 659 nt
Filed under: uncultured fungus
Lineage: Eukaryota; Fungi
Description: eukaryotic LSU rRNA
Rfam family: Eukaryotic large subunit ribosomal RNA
Source: RNAcentral
CCCGCUGAACUUAAGCAUAUCAAUAAGCGGAGGAAAAGAAACUAACAAGGAUUCCCCUAGUAACUGCGAGUGAAGCGGGAAAAGCUCAAAUUUAAAAUCUGGUGGUCUUUGGCCAUCCGAGUUGUAAUUUAGAGAAGCGUCUUCCGCGCUGGACCGUGCACAAGUCUCCUGGAACGGAGCGUCGUAGAGGGUGAGAAUCCCGUCUUUGGCAUGGACACACCAGGGCUUUUGCGAUGCGCUCUCGAAGAGUCGAGUUGUUUGGGAAUGCAGCUCAAAAUGGGUGGUGAACUCCAUCUAAAGCUAAAUAUUGGCGAGAGACCGAUAGCGAACAAGUACCGUGAGGGAAAGAUGAAAAGAACUUUGGAAAGAGAGUUAAACAGUACGUGAAAUUGCUGAAAGGGAAACGCUUGAAGUCAGUCGCGUUAGUCGGGGAUCAGCCUUCCUUUUGGUUGGUGUACUUCCUGAUUGACGGGUCAGCAUCAGUUUUGACCGGUGGAUAAGAGCUUGAGGAAUGUGGCAUCUUCGGGUGUGUUAUAGCCUCUUGUUGUAUACAUCGGUUGGGACUGAGGAACUCAGCACGCCGCAAGGCCGGGUUUUUAACCACGUACGUGCUUAGGAUGCUGGCAUAAUGGCUUUAAUCGACCCGUCUUGAAACACGG